CACUAUUGGGUAGCAAUAUUCGGUAGUGGGAGUGGCGCAAGGGUGCGUAACACGUGGGUAAUUUGCCAUGAAGUCUGGAAUAACUUGCUGAAAGGCGAGCUAAUACCGGAUGUGAUUACUGGAAGGCAUCUUCUGGUACUUAAAGUCGGGGACCGUAAGGCCUGACACUUCUUGAUAAGCCCGCGGCCUAUCAGCUAGUUGGUGAGGUAACGGCUCACCAAGGCUAAGACGGGUAGCUGGUCUGAGAGGACGACCAGCCACACUGGAACUGAGACACGGUCCAGACACCUACGGGUGGCAGCAGUCGAGAAUUUUUCUCAAUGGGGGAAACCCUGAAGGAGCGACGCCGCGUGGGGGAUGAAUGGCUUCGGCCCGUAAACCCCUGUCAUUUGCGAUCAAACCUUACGGCUUAACACGUCGUAAGCUGAUAGUAGCGGAAGAGGAAGGGACGGCUAACUCUGUGCCAGCAGCCGCGGUAAUACAGAGGUCCCAAGCGUUGUUCGGAUUCACUGGGCGUAAAGGGUGCGUAGGCGGUCGGGUAAGUCUGACGUGAAAUCUUCAAGCUCAACUUGGAAACUGCGUCGGAUACUAUUCGGCUAGAGGAAUGGAGGGGAGACUGGAAUACUUGGUGUAGCAGUGAAAUGCGUAGAUAUCAAGUGGAACACCAGUGGCGAAGGCGAGUCUCUGGACAUUUCCUGACGCUGAGGCACGAAAGCCAGGGGAGCAAACGGGAUUAGAUACCCCGGUAGUCCUGGCCCUAAACGGUGCACGUUUGCUG
RNAcentral lists this ribosomal RNA (778 nucleotides) under uncultured bacterium. RNAcentral describes it as "bacterial SSU rRNA". It matches the Rfam family "Bacterial small subunit ribosomal RNA", at positions 67 to 822 of the family's 1533-position model. The record is from RNAcentral.